RNAcentral lists this ribosomal RNA (327 nucleotides) under uncultured bacterium. Its description in RNAcentral is "bacterial SSU rRNA". It matches the Rfam family "Bacterial small subunit ribosomal RNA", at positions 1178 to 1505 of the family's 1533-position model. The record is from RNAcentral.
GAUGACGUCAAUCAUCAUGCCCCUUAUGACCUGGGCUACACACGUGCUACAAUGGUUGGUACAACGAGUUGCGAGUCGGUGACGGCAAGCUAAUCUCUUAAAGCCAAUCUCAGUUCGGAUUGUAGGCUGCAACUCGCCUACAUGAAGUCGGAAUCGCUAGUAAUCGCGGAUCAGCACGCCGCGGUGAAUACGUUCCCGGGCCUUGUACACACCGCCCGUCACACCACGAGAGUUUGUAACACCCGAAGUCGGUGAGGUAACCUUUUGGAGCCAGCCGCCUAAGGUGGGAUAGAUGAUUGGGGUGAAGUCGUAACAGGGUAACCGUUA